This is a long non-coding RNA of Octopus sinensis (East Asian common octopus), 148 nucleotides long. RefSeq lists it as uncharacterized. NCBI's taxonomy places the organism in Eukaryota, Metazoa, Mollusca, Cephalopoda, Octopoda, Octopodidae. The transcript has 3 exons. The record is from RefSeq and is a predicted model, not a curated record.
UGUGGACCAUACAUUGUUAGUUCUAUUAAGUUAUGGUCUGAGAAAAUCGUCAGUGUCACCUUAACAUUAUGGAUAUGGCCGUGUUGUUUGUGAAGCAGAGGUCCUGGGCAUUUUUUCCCCCUUCUUGGUCUUUUGAUGAAAAAUCACA